AGGCACGUAGCUCAGCUGGUUAGAGCACCACCUUGACAUGGUGGGGGUCGUUGGUUCGAGUCCAAUCGUGCCUA
Transfer RNA from Pseudomonas sp. HPB0071, 74 nucleotides. It matches the Rfam family "tRNA". Rfam says of the family: Transfer RNA (tRNA) molecules are approximately 80 nucleotides in length. Lineage: Bacteria; Pseudomonadati; Pseudomonadota; Gammaproteobacteria; Pseudomonadales; Pseudomonadaceae. The record is from Rfam.